UGGGGAAUAUUGCUCAAUGGAGGAAACUCUGAAGCAGCAACGCCGCGUGAAGGAAGAAGGCUUUCGGGUUGUAAACUUCUUUGAAUGGGGACGAAUAAAUGACGGUACCCAUAGAACAAGCCACGGCUAACUACGUGCCAGCAGCCGCGGUAAUACGUAGGUGGCGAGCGUUAUCCGGAAUUACUGGGUGUAAAGGGCGUGCAGGCGGGAUUAUAAGUCAGAUGUGAAAUGCCAAGGCUUAACCAUGGAAUUGCAUCUGAAACUAUAGUUCUUGAGUGCUGGAGAGGAAAGCGGAAUUCCUAGUGUAGCGGUGAAAUGCGUAGAUAUUAGGAGGAACACCAGUGGCGAAGGCGGCUUUCUGGACAGUAACUGACGCUGAGGCGCGAAAGCGUGGGGAGCA
RNAcentral lists this ribosomal RNA (400 nucleotides) under uncultured bacterium. RNAcentral's name for it is "bacterial SSU rRNA". It matches the Rfam family "Bacterial small subunit ribosomal RNA", at positions 355 to 770 of the family's 1533-position model. The record is from RNAcentral.